This 893-nucleotide ribosomal RNA is filed under the name uncultured bacterium. RNAcentral describes it as "bacterial SSU rRNA". It matches the Rfam family "Bacterial small subunit ribosomal RNA", at positions 8 to 916 of the family's 1533-position model. The record is from RNAcentral.
AGAGUUGAUCCUGGCUCAGAAUCAACGCUGGCGGCGUGCCUCAGACAUGCAAGUCGAACGAUUAAACUUUCCUUCGGGAAAGAUAUAAAGUGGCGCACGGGUGAGUAACACGUAGGUAAUGUACCUUUGGGUGGGGAAUAACUUAGGGAAACUUAAGCUAAUACCGCAUAAUGCAGCGGCUCCUUCGGGAGACAGUUGUUAAAGAUUUAUCGCCUAAAGAGCAGCCUGCGGCAGAUUAGCUAGUUGGUAAGGUAACGGCUUACCAAGGCUACGAUCUGUAUCCGACCUGAGAGGGUGGUCGGACACACUGACACUGAAUAACGGGUCAGACUCCUACGGGAGGCAGCAGUCGGGAAUUUUGGGCAAUGGGCGAAAGCCUGACCCAGCAACGCCGCGUGAAGGAUGAAGUCUCUCGGGAUGUAAACUUCGUAAGAAUAGGAAGAAUAAAUGACGGUACUAUUUGUAAGGUCCGGCUAACUACGUGCCAGCAGCCGCGGUAAUACGUAGGGACCAAGCGUUGUUCGGAUUUACUGGGCGUAAAGGGCGCGUAGGCGGCAAUUCAAGUCAGUUGUGAAAUCUCCGAGCUUAACUCGGAACGGUCAACUGAUACUGCUUUGCUAGAGUACAGAAGGGGCAAUCGGAAUUCUUGGUGUAGCGGUGAAAUGCGUAGAUAUCAAGAGGAACACCUGAGGUGAAGACGGGUUGCUGGGCUGAUACUGACGCUGAGGCGCGAAAGCUAGGGUAGCAAACGGGAUUAGAUACCCCGGUAGUCCUAGCCCUAAACGAUGAAUACUUGGUGUCUGGAGUUUUAUUCUCCGGGUGCCGUCGCUAACGUUUUUAGUAUUCCGCCUGGGGAGUACGCACGCAAGUGUGAAACUCAAAGGAAUUGACGG